This 481-nucleotide ribosomal RNA is filed under the name uncultured bacterium. RNAcentral's name for it is "partial 16S ribosomal RNA". It matches the Rfam family "Bacterial small subunit ribosomal RNA", at positions 30 to 506 of the family's 1533-position model. The record is from RNAcentral.
AUUGAACGCUGGCGGCAUGCUUUAUACAUGCAAGUCGAACGGUAACAGGCCGCAAUGUGCUGAUGAGUGGUGAACGGGGGCGUAUUGCUUCGGAACGUGUCCCGUCGUUGGGGAUAACUACUCGCAAGGGUAGCCAAGACCUCAUACGAUCUAUGGUUGAAAGCGGGGGACCGUAAGGCCUCGCGCGAUCUGAGCGGCCGAUGUUAGAUUAAGUAGUUGGUGGGGUAAGGGCUCACAAAGCCAACGAUCUCUAACGGGUCUGAGAGGACGACCAGCCACAUUGGACUUGGGCAACGGCCAGAAUCCCAAGGGAAGGCAGCGGUGGGAAAUUUUGGAAAAUGGGCGAAACCCGACGCCAGCAAGGCCGGUGGGAGGAAGAAGGCCUUCGGGUGGUAAACUGCUUUUGUAGGGAACAAAACGGCUCUGGUUAAUACCCGGGGCUAAUGACGGUACCGUAAGGAUAAGCACCGGCAAACUACGU